This 714-nucleotide ribosomal RNA is filed under the name Pseudoxanthomonas sp. KAs5-R8. RNAcentral describes it as "bacterial SSU rRNA". It matches the Rfam family "Bacterial small subunit ribosomal RNA", at positions 1 to 709 of the family's 1533-position model. Lineage: Bacteria; Pseudomonadati; Pseudomonadota; Gammaproteobacteria; Lysobacterales; Lysobacteraceae. The record is from RNAcentral.
UAGAGUUUGAUCCUGGCUCAGAGUGAACGCUGGCGGUAGGCCUAACACAUGCAAGUCGAACGGCAGCACAGGAGAGCUUGCUCUCUGGGUGGCGAGUGGCGGACGGGUGAGGAAUACAUCGGAAUCUACCUUUUCGUGGGGGAUAACGUAGGGAAACUUACGCUAAUACCGCAUACGACCUACGGGUGAAAGUGGGGGACCGCAAGGCCUCACGCGAUUAGAUGAGCCGAUGUCCGAUUAGCUAGUUGGCGGGGUAAUGGCCCACCAAGGCGACGAUCGGUAGCUGGUCUGAGAGGAUGAUCAGCCACACUGGAACUGAGACACGGUCCAGACUCCUACGGGAGGCAGCAGUGGGGAAUAUUGGACAAUGGGCGCAAGCCUGAUCCAGCCAUACCGCGUGGGUGAAGAAGGCCUUCGGGUUGUAAAGCCCUUUUGUUGGGAAAGAAAUCCUAUCGGUUAAUAACCGGUGGGGAUGACGGUACCCAAAGAAUAAGCACCGGCUAACUUCGUGCCAGCAGCCGCGGUAAUACGAAGGGUGCAAGCGUUACUCGGAAUUACUGGGCGUAAAGCGUGCGUAGGUGGUGGUUUAAGUCUGCUGUGAAAGCCCUGGGCUCAACCUGGGAAUUGCAGUGGAUACUGGAUCACUAGAGUGUGGUAGAGGGAUGCGGAAUUUCUGGUGUAGCAGUGAAAUGCGUAGAGAUCAGAAAGGAACAU